GUAAACCCCAGUGCAGCAAAUUGAAUAAGCCCAUAAACACCAAGGUGGCAACUGGAAAACCAUCAGUCUGUUGGAUGUCCAUCGACAAGAAUAAAUCAAGGAUGAAAGUUUAAAUACUUGUGCAACAAUUAUAAGGUUCCAUACCCAGCACUAGAGCUUCUUCACAAUCUCUUCAUUUGCACGCUUGUAGUAAGUCAUCCUUUGUGUAGC
This 210-nucleotide long non-coding RNA is filed under the name Nicotiana benthamiana. Its description in RNAcentral is "long non-coding RNA (NBEN_LNC000322)". The record is from RNAcentral. Lineage: Eukaryota; Viridiplantae; Streptophyta; Magnoliopsida; Solanales; Solanaceae.